GGUUGACCUCGGAUCAGGUAGGGAUACCCGCUGAACUUAAGCAUAUCAAUAAGCGGAGGAAAAGAAACCAACAGGGAUUGCCUCAGUAACGGCGAGUGAAGCGGCAAGAGCUCAAAUUUGAAAUCUGGCCCCUUCGGGGUCCGAGUUGUAAUUUGUAGAGGAUGCUUCGGGUGCGGCCCCCGUCUAAGUGCUCUGGAACGGGCCAUCGGAGAGGGUGAGAAUCCCGUCUGGGACGGGGUGUCCGCGUCCAUGUGAAGCUCCUUCGACGAGUCGAGUUGUUUGGGAAUGCAGCUCUAAAUGGGUGGUAAAUUUCAUCUAAAGCUAAAUACUGGCCGGAGACCGAUAGCGCACAAGUAGAGUGAUCGAAAGAUGAAAAGCACUUUGAAAAGAGAGUUAAACAGCACGUGAAAUUGUUGAAAGGGAAGCGCUUGCGACCAGACUCGCUUCCGGGGUUCAGCCGGCUUUCGGGCCGGUGUACUUCCCCGGGGGCGGGCCAGCGUCGGUUUGGGCGGCCGGUCAAAGGCCCCUGGAAUGUAACGCCCCUCGGGGCGCCUUAUAGCCAGGGGUGUCAUGCGGCCAGCCUGGACCGAGGAACGCGCUUCGGCACGGACGCUGGCAUAAUGGUCGUAAACGACC
RNAcentral lists this ribosomal RNA (636 nucleotides) under Aspergillus pseudoglaucus. RNAcentral describes it as "eukaryotic LSU rRNA". It matches the Rfam family "Eukaryotic large subunit ribosomal RNA", at positions 1 to 649 of the family's 3401-position model. The record is from RNAcentral. Lineage: Eukaryota; Fungi; Ascomycota; Eurotiomycetes; Eurotiales; Aspergillaceae.